CUACGGGCGGCACCAGCAAGGAAUAGUAGGCAAUGGGGGAAACCCUGACCUCGCGACGCCGCGUGAGGGAUGAAGGCUUUCGGGUCGUAAACCUCUUUUUUCAGGGAUGAAUAAUGACAGUACCUGAAGAAUAAGUCACGGCUAACUACGUGCCAGCAGCCGCGGGUAAAACGUAGGUGGCGAACGUUAUCCGGAUUUACUGGGCGUAAAGAGUGCGUAGGCGGCUUUUCAAGUCGGAUGUAAAAUCUCCCGGCCUAACUGGGAGCGACCAUUCGAUACUGUUGAGCUAGAGUGCAGCAGAGGAGAGUGGAAUUCCCGGUGUAGUGGUGGAAUGCGUAGAUAUCGGGAGGAACACCAGUGGCGAAAGCGGCUCUCUGGGAUGUAACUGACGCUGUUGCACGAAAGCGUGGGUAGCAAACAGGAUUAGAUACCCCGGUAGUC
This 441-nucleotide ribosomal RNA is filed under the name uncultured bacterium. RNAcentral's name for it is "partial 16S ribosomal RNA". It matches the Rfam family "Bacterial small subunit ribosomal RNA", at positions 339 to 795 of the family's 1533-position model. The record is from RNAcentral.